AUACGGAGGGUGCGAGCGUUGUUCGGAAUUAUUGGGCGUAAAGAGCAUGUAGGCGGUCUGUUAAGUCUGGUGUGGAAGCCCGGGGCUCAACCCCGGAAGUGCAUUGGAUACUGGCAGACUUGAGUAUGGGAGAGGAAAGCGGAAUUCCGAGUGUAGGAGUGAAAUCCGUAGAUAUUCGGAGGAACACCAGUGGCGAAGGCGGCUUUCUGGACCAAUACUGACGCUGAGAUGCGAAAGCGUGCGGAGCAAACAGGAUUAGAAACCCCAGUAGUCC
This 274-nucleotide ribosomal RNA is filed under the name uncultured bacterium. RNAcentral's name for it is "partial 16S ribosomal RNA". It matches the Rfam family "Bacterial small subunit ribosomal RNA", at positions 523 to 796 of the family's 1533-position model. The record is from RNAcentral.